RNAcentral lists this ribosomal RNA (649 nucleotides) under uncultured bacterium. RNAcentral's name for it is "bacterial SSU rRNA". It matches the Rfam family "Bacterial small subunit ribosomal RNA", at positions 9 to 685 of the family's 1533-position model. The record is from RNAcentral.
GAGUUUGAUCAUGGCUCAGAUUGAACGCUGGCGGCAUGCCUUACACAUGCAAGUCGAACGGUAGAGUAGCAAUACUCGAGAGUGGCGAACGGGUGAGUAAUAUAUCGGAACGUGCCCAGUCGUGGGGGAUAACGCAGAGAAAUUUACGCUAAUACCGCAUACGAUCUAAGGAUGAAAGCGGGGGAUCGCAAGACCUCGCGCGAUUGGAGCGGCUGAUAUCAGAUUAGGUUGUUGGUGAGGUAAAAGCUCACCAAGCCGACGAUCUGUAGCUGGUUUGAGAGAACGACCAGCCACACUGGGACUGAGACACGGCCCAGACCCCUACGGGAGGCAGCAGUGGGGAAUCUUGGACAAUGGGCGCAAGCCUGAUCCAGCCAUGCCGCGUGAGUGAAGAAGGCCUUCGGGUUGUAAAGCUCUUUUACCAGGGACGAUAAUGACGGUACCUGGAGAAUAAGCCCCGGCAAACCUCGUGCCAGCAGCCGCGGUAAUACGUAGGGUGCGAGCGUUAAUCGGAAUUACUGGGCGUAAAGCGUGCGCAGGCGGUUCUGAAAGUCAGCUGUGAAAGCCCCGGGCUUAACCUGGGAAUGGCGGUUGAAACUACAGGACUAGAAUCUGGCAGAGGGGGUGGAAUUCCACGUGUAGCAGUGAA